This is a long non-coding RNA of Sinocyclocheilus anshuiensis, 102 nucleotides long. RefSeq lists it as uncharacterized. The transcript has 3 exons. Lineage: Eukaryota; Metazoa; Chordata; Actinopteri; Cypriniformes; Cyprinidae. The record is from RefSeq and is a predicted model, not a curated record.
UAGGAUGAUUUUAGUAAAAACAGCUGAAAUAUCAUAAAUACAACCUCUAGUAAUAUGAUUUAUUGGCUUAUCACGUUUUACCAAUAGACUGUGAAAAACAUA